This 3939-nucleotide long non-coding RNA is filed under the name Brassica napus (rape). Its description in RNAcentral is "long non-coding RNA (BNAP_LNC008025)". The record is from RNAcentral. Lineage: Eukaryota; Viridiplantae; Streptophyta; Magnoliopsida; Brassicales; Brassicaceae.
CCUCUGAGCACCACGGGUGCAAGUAGGAGAAGAAGCUGCAAAAGAAGGAAGAAGACAAAACUCGAGGAACUGCUUCGAACCCAUGAGUACUGACAUCGAACUGGACAGUUUCCGCAGGUGGGUUUGAGGAAGGCGAAGCAAGAAACGCAUCCCGAAAAAAGUUUUCAGCUACUAUACUUCAUAGCGCUUCUUAAUUCCGACAAGGGUUUUAGACUUUUUAGGGGUUCUUUCUUUUCCCUCCUCUGUCUGUCUGUCUGCGUCUUGCGGAAGAAGAAUGAGAAGAAGAGAAAGACACCCAAGAGAUUUUGAUUUUGUUCUCUUUUUACGUAACUUGGGCUUGAACAUAAAGGCCCAUUAUUUAUUUGUUCAGGCACAUUGCAUUUAUUUAGUAAUGUUGAGGAUUCUAUCGGUUUCCUGCAAGCUUCAAUGUAUCUCAAAUCGCAAAUCUAGCGGAAACAAUCAAUCGCAGUGUGGAAACGAAUCAAGCGAGAAAGUAAACGACACAAGAGUUUUGGUAACCCGGUGUUCACCGCACUCCUCCGAUGUGGAGAAGCCGCUAUACUCACCGGAGAGAGAAUUAGGUCUCUCAACCUUUCCAAUAGAUGAACUGAGAAGAGUACAAUCACAGGAGACCUUCUUCCUCUCUAUCUCUGUUACAAUCACCUAGAGAUGAGGUAUGAUUUAGGAAGAAGAAACAAGAAGAUGAGUUUAGCUAGAUACACAGAGAAACUCCUUCCCUCACUAGCUCUCUCUCACUCACGAUCUCUCUCUGUCUCUCUGUCUCGAGCUCUCUCUCUCCCGAGCACGAGCUCUUUCUCUGCUCACCGUUCUGUUACAGACCUCGACGUCGUAACCGUAUCUUCUCCGUCUCGUGAAGAUGACGAUGACUUGAUCCAGCUCAGAAAAAAUAUCUUCAGCUUAAGUGGUUAAUGACUCUCUUAACCCCACUUGAACUUAGCCAAAGCAUGCCCAACUCACGUGCCUUUCAUAAGACCAACAUUAGCUUGAAACCUUCUUCUUGGCUAAGAGACUUAGAAGAUAAGAUGACAUAUUUCUACAAUUUCCACCUUGUCAUCGAUCUUCUUCAUGGCUCUACCUUCCCUUGAGCUUUCUCCUCAUGUACUUGAGCAAACUUGCUCAUCUGCAACUCCCUACUGAUUCUUGCAUCUUCUCAGCUUCAAUACUUCCUGAAAUUAGUUUCCUCCAAGCAUCUCAACCUGUAUCCAUCUUGAUACAACCUGAAGACUUCUUUGCCAUUGCUCCUUUCAACCUCUUAACCGAAGCUCCACCUCAAUAGCUUGUCUUCAUACAAUCAAUCACCAUCAAUGAACUAGACAUGAAACUCACAAGCCAUGGCUGUGAUGUUAAUCACUUUUUCAUUCCUGAGCACUGUCUUCUUAAGUUGAUAAACCGCUUUAACACAGCUUUGUGUUAAGCUCAACUUCUUCAUUGAUUCUCUUUUGGCAGUUUCUAUAAAACCGGAAACUUGAGACGACCACCCAUCAGUAACUCAACACAAUCCAUAAGCUGCUCACUUGAUGCUUGACCUGUUACUGUGAUUUAAAGUCAUCAACCUUCUGCCAAAAUCUGAUGCCGAUGCUAGCUUGAAACUAUUUCAGAACUUGAAUCAUUUGCGGAACAUGAAUCACUUGCCUCAAACCAGAAGCUCCUUGAUUCAAAACCUUUGAAACCAAUCUCAACAAACAGUAGACACCAACUGCUUAACCUGAGAUUUUCCUCACAACCACUUGAUGAACACACUGACUUGAACACCACCCUGCACCGCUGCUGUCGCCAACAGAACACGCCGCUCAACACAACCCGGUUAAGAAGACUUUCGAUGUAGAGAAUCUCUGCUCAAUCUCUGUCCAAACAAAUUGUUGUGACCCUGCAACUUGAUUUCUCUGUAGACCCAUUUGAUUCACCUCAAAAGCACCUGAGAUCAGAAUCAAAAAUACUACUGAAAAUCUCUUGCAGAAACCAGAAUCAUACUUGUUUCCUCCCUGAAUCAACCCUGAUUCAACCAGCCUUCUGUCUAGCCAACUCAACCUUGAAACCUGAACUUGAAACGCUGUUGAAACUCCAACAGAUCACGCCUCAAAGCUCCACCUUGCUGUGAGUACUUUCAACCCUAGUUCCCUUUCCAAUUCCUUGAGUAAUUAAGACAGUACCAGCAGCUCAGAAACACUCCUUGUACCCUUUAACCAUAUCUCUCAUCAUAAGAUCCUGAUAUAUUCAAGAGAUACUUUCUUGAGAGAGAGAGAGAGAGAGAGAGAGAGAGAGAGUUGUUCAUGUAUGAUAUUAGAAAGGGAAGUUGUAUGAUAUGGACCUGAAAGAACUUCUUAGUUAGAUAACGGUACUUGACACUCACAAGCUCCCCUCUUUGCCAAUACGUAAAAGCAAUUACAAUCUGCCACAUAAACGAAGCAAGAACUUAAGGUGAGAAGAAGCAACCAACCACAGAAGAAGGCUAACAGGACCAAGAAGCAAGCAUGUUCCUUUAGAAAAGAAGGUUCAUGAUUUUUCUAAUUGCAAACAAGAUUGGACCAGUGAGAGCCAAGUAACAGAAAAGCUUGAAAAAUAACAGAUUCAGAAGAAUAUUUGUAAGUACCUCAUCACCUAUUCUUUUCUGCAUAACCCGAUUUCUCUUUAGUGUUUCUGCUGAAAUCAUUCUUGCAGCGAAAUAAUCCUCAAUCUGAAGCAUAACCAAGAACACAAUAAGGUUUUAUCAAACUCAUAUGAAUUACAGCGAGAUGAAGUAUCAAAUUCAUAUUUUUUUCCUUCAUCGUAAACACAGAAGAAAGAAAGAACAAUAAGUGAGUACUAGAAGACAACAACCUCGUCGCAGAGAGGUUCUAGCUCUAAACUAUCCACAGUAACUUUCCUUUCAACCUUCUCCACUGGAAGUACAGAUGUAGUAAACCUACCAUCCACCUGCAGAAAGGACGGAGGAUAAAAUUUUCAUUUAAUCAAUUUAGAUUUCAAGAAACGAGUGUCAUGCUUGUGUUGCAACUCACCCGUACUCCACCUUUCAACCCACACUUGCCUCGAAAGCAAUUCCAUGUAGCCGAAGAACUGUGAAUUAAAAGGGCAUCAUUAACUACAGUCUCAUAAACAAAAAAAAAAAGAAAGAAAAUUCAAAACCAAAGCCAAAAAUAAGAUUUGCAUACCAAUCAGCAGCAAUGAAAAGAGACAAACUUUUUUCUCCAGAGUCACCACCUUCACACUGACGUGCACAUAAAGAACAGUCUUAAGUAUAUAAACUCCAAAAGAAAAGGAGAAAAUUUAGCGUAAAUGCAACAUUAACAUAAUAGUACUCUCUCAAGUCUUGGCAUAUACCAAGAGGCUUGUGGAGAAGACAUAAAGAGAAAUGUUAUUACCUCGGGACAUAUCAAACCACUGUAUUGUCCAGAGGGACAGUUUUGAGCAUCAAUUCCAUUAUCAGCUAAUUUAAGCCUCAAGUUGGCUAAUCUAGAUUGCACAGCACCAUCUUCAGGAUCAACUACAAGUCACAAUACGUUGAGCAAAUUCAUCAACUAUAGAGGAGCAAUUGGAAACAGCAUUCACGACGUACCGGGACUUGGGGCUCUGGAGAUUGAAGUGUAGGGAGAUACACCAUUGGGCCUUUGGUGAUAAGGGCUGCUUUUGGACACGGGUCUCGAGGCUAGAACCGGACGAAAUCUUCUAGAAACGGAAGAGAGUUGCCUCUGAGCACCACGGGUGCAAGUAGGAGAAGAAGCUGCAAAAGAAGGAAGAAGACAAAACUCGAGGAACUGCUUCGAACCCAUGAGUACUGACAUCGAACUGGACAGUUUCCGCAGGUGGGUUUGAGGAAGGCGAAGCAAGAAACGCAUCCCGAAAAAAGUUUUCAGCUACUAUACUUCAUAGCGCUUCUUAAUUCCGACAAGGGUUUUAGACUUUUUAGGGGUUCUUUCUUUU